GCAUGUUCACAUGAUUAAAGGUAUUCCGGUAGACGAUGGGGAUGCGUUCCAUCAGAUAGUAGGCGGGGUAACGGCCCACCUAGUCUUCGAUGGAUAGGGGUUCUGAGAGGAAGGUCCCCCACAUUGGAACUGAGACACGGUCCAAACUCCUACGGGAGGCAGCAGUGAGGAAUAUUGGUCAAUGGGCGAGAGCCUGAACCAGCCAAGUAGCGUGAAGGAUGACUGCCCUAUGGGUUGUAAACUUCUUUUAUAAAGGAAUAAAGUCGGGUAUGCAUACCCGUUUGCAUGUACUUUAUGAAUAAGGAUCGGCUAACUCCGUGCCAGCAGCCGCGGUAAUACGGAGGAUCCGAGCGUUAUCCGGAUUUAUUGGGUUUAAAGGGAGCGUAGAUGGAUGUUUAAGUCAGUUGUGAAAGUUUGCGGCUCAACCGUAAAAUUGCAGUUGAUACUGGAUAUCUUGAGUGCAGUUGAGGCAGGCGGAAUUCGUGGUGUAGCGGCGAAAUGCUUAGAUAUCACGAAGAACUCCGAUUGCGAAGGCAGCCUGCUAAGCUGCAACUGACAUUGAGGCUCGAAAGUGUGGGUAUCAAACAGGAUUAGAUACCCUGGUAGUCCACACGGUAAACGAUGAAUACUCGCUGUUUGCGAUAUACAGCAAGCGGCC
RNAcentral lists this ribosomal RNA (658 nucleotides) under uncultured bacterium. RNAcentral describes it as "bacterial SSU rRNA". It matches the Rfam family "Bacterial small subunit ribosomal RNA", at positions 187 to 848 of the family's 1533-position model. The record is from RNAcentral.